GUGCAAGCAUACUUUACAGCAUUACCUUUUUUUUACAGUUUUUACUUUAUUUGCAAUUUUUAUUUUCUUUUCCAGUCAAUCUUUCAGCACUUAAUUAAUUUUUUACACAAUAGUUUCUACACCGGAAACUAUCGUGUAUCUUUUACUGGAUCUAACCUUACGUUAGAUCCUAGAUUUUUAUUCCUUCACUUUUUAUUUUCCUGUCCGAUUGAAGAAUUCAAUAGCAAAUCCAACCGGUCUGUGGUGGAGUGUUCAAGAUUGCCAUUAAUUAUUCAGGUUCUUUAAUUAUUAUUUGAAUUUAUAUAUGUCCUGCAUUAUUGUUUAUUUAUAUUGUUUGCCUGGGAUGGAUUUAUUUAAGCAUGAUGAUUGUUUAGAUCUGUUUAGCAUGUCCGGC
This 394-nucleotide long non-coding RNA is filed under the name Lathyrus oleraceus (garden pea). Its description in RNAcentral is "Pisum sativum (pea) long non-coding RNA (PSAT_LNC011412)". Lineage: Eukaryota; Viridiplantae; Streptophyta; Magnoliopsida; Fabales; Fabaceae. The record is from RNAcentral.